GGCGAGAUGGCCGAGCGGUCUAAGGCGCCAGACUAAGGAUCAGCUUCAGUCUGAAGCAGAAUUUGCAGACUCACUGUUUGUAAUCUGGUCCUCCGGGGCGUGGGUUCGAAUCCCACUCUCGUCA
This is a non-coding RNA of Favolaschia claudopus, 124 nucleotides long. The record is from the annotation of a GenBank genome assembly. NCBI's taxonomy places the organism in Eukaryota, Fungi, Basidiomycota, Agaricomycetes, Agaricales, Mycenaceae.